RNA transcript from Sinocyclocheilus rhinocerous, 4217 nucleotides. It is a transcript of the gene named potassium voltage-gated channel subfamily A member 1-like, with no coding region annotated. The transcript is spliced from 3 exons. NCBI's taxonomy places the organism in Eukaryota, Metazoa, Chordata, Actinopteri, Cypriniformes, Cyprinidae. The record is from RefSeq and is a predicted model, not a curated record.
CAGCUCCCCAAUAACACGAGCACAAUGGUCAACGGGCGAGACUGAGCGGCAGACAGAUGCGCGCUGCGCAUACUUACCUAAGGCUGUUUCACAUGGCAUCCUAAAACUUUGAUACAUCUCGAUUCUGACGCCGCUUGUGUGAUUUAUGGAACCUCGCAGCAUGCUCUCGGUAGCAGCACCUGCUUUUUGCUGUUGCUGGUGUCAAGCGGAUUCAGUGAUUCAUUCAUAGCCACUGAAGGGGCAGAGGACGGAACAAACCUACACCCCACCCCUCCCUCACAGCGAAGAUGGGAACCAGUGAUUUCAUAGGGGAAUAAAGUCUCUACGGCGACCGAGCACCUCAGAUAACGGAAAGGAGCCGCUCUCUCCUCUUGCAUUUAGUUUCCUUUUGGAUAACGCAGGCGCGCGCUAAACGCACAUGGAUUCUAGAACUGUUGGACACAUUUUCUCAUAAUGAUGAUUAUGAUGAUGAUGUCACCAGAAGCACGUCGCUUCGCUACAGAUGUAAAGUCCAAUUACAAUAAGUAAAAGUGCACUGAAAGGCCUUAAAGCACUUCCAAAGGCAGCGGACCUACAGUUCCAGUCAAGUGCAUUUAUGAACUUGCUGAGCCCGUCUUUUGCUCAGCCUCUUCAGCCCAUUUUCCAUCAUUCUGAACGCUUCGUAGUUUGAGAAGAUGGAGUUUGCUAUGGUGGGCGCGGACAGCGGGGGCUGCAACACCCACCUGCCCUAUGGAUAUGCACAGGCUCGCGCCCGGGAGAGAGAGCGCGAGCGGGAGAGACAGUCUCGCGCAGCGGCGGCGGCGGCGGAAGCCGAAGCCGGAACGGUCGGAGAGGGAGGUGGGUCCAGUGGCCAUUCCCACAACCACCCGCAUCAGAGUCGUACCGCCUCUUCAACGAAUGCCAACAACAGUAGCGCUGGGACCGCCUCGCGCCCCUCCUCCUCCUCCUCCUCCUCCUCCUCCCAACAGCAGCAGCAGCAGCAGCAACACCACGAGCCACCACAGCAACUUCCCAGAGAGCGAAAAAAGCAAAGAGGCGUCGCGCGCUGGAGACGGAACCGCGCGGCACUCGGCGGGGAUCUACGCCACUCAGAGUUGGCGCUCCUAGGAUCCGAGGAGGACAUCAUGAUCGAGGAGGAGGAGGCGGAGGGCGAGGAGGAAGAGGAGGACAGGGGAAGCAAGAGGUCGAGUUUUGUCUAUAACAUGGGUGAUGAAGAGGAGACGGUCUCGUUAACGGACAGGCGUCCUCAGUCAGGGUACGAAAAUGUUUACAAUGAGUACGGCUGCUGCGAGAGAGUUGUCAUCAACGUGUCGGGCUUAAAGUUUGAAACUCAACUGAAGACUCUCGCGCAGUUCCCGGACACUCUCCUGGGAGACCCUGAGAAAAGAAUCAGGUACUUCGAUCCUCUGCGUAACGAAUACUUCUUUGACAGGAAUCGACCGAGCUUCGACGCCAUUCUAUACUUCUAUCAGUCAGGGGGGCGUUUAAAGAGACCCGCCAAUGUGCCGUUUGACAUCUUUUCCGAGGAGGUCAAGUUCUAUGAACUCGGCGAAGAGGCAAUGCUCAAGUUUCGCGAGGAUGAGGGCUUCGUGAAGGAGGAAGAGAAGCCGCUGCCCGAGGACGAGUUCAAACGUCAGAUCUGGCUACUGUUCGAGUACCCGGAGAGUUCAAGUCCAGCCAGAGGGAUCGCGGUCGUGUCAGUGUUGGUCAUCGUCAUAUCCAUCGUCAUUUUUUGUUUGGAAACAUUGCCAGAAUUCAGGGACGACAAAGAAUUCCUCAGCCCAGGUAAAAACAACACACAGGCAGACAAUGGAUUUACGCCAUUCAACGACCCCUUUUUCAUCGUUGAGACGGUGUGCAUCAUUUGGUUCUCGUUUGAGAUAAUCGUGCGCUUCUUCGCGAGCCCCAGUAAAGCUGAUUUCUUUAAAAACGUUAUGAACUCCAUAGACAUUGUCUCUAUUUUGCCUUAUUUCAUAACUUUCGGCACAGACCUCGCUCAGCAGCAAGGCAACGGGCAACAGGCAAUGAGUUUCGCGAUCCUGAGAAUAAUACGACUCGUCCGCGUGUUCAGGAUCUUCAAACUGUCUCGACACUCGAAAGGUCUUCAGAUCCUCGGGCACACUUUGCGCGCGAGCAUGCGAGAACUGGCGCUGCUCAUCUUCUUCCUUGUCAUCGGUGUCAUCCUGUUCUCCAGCGCGGUGUUCUUCGCAGAGGCGGACGAGCCCUCAUCACAGUUCACCAGCAUCCCAGACGCCUUCUGGUGGGCUGUAGUGACCAUGACCACAGUGGGCUACGGGGACAUGAAGCCCAUCACGGUCGGGGGUAAAAUCGUGGGCUCGCUGUGCGCCAUCGCCGGUGUCCUGACCAUUGCGCUUCCAGUCCCUGUCAUCGUGUCCAACUUCAACUACUUCUACCACCGGGAAACUGAUAAUGAGGACCAGGCGCCCGUUGUGGAACAACCCCCACCGGUCUGUCCGUACUUUCCGAAUUUCUUGAGAAAAUUCAGAGGGUCCCUAUCGGGGUCGUCUUUGGGUGACAAAGCGGCAGAGUACAUGGAGAUGGAGGAGGGCGUGACAGAAUCUCUGUGCGGGGCUGACACGCAGAGCCCGAGCAGAGGGAACGGUACUGACAUAGGCGGAAAAAACAGUUCACAUUCACGAACCCUACAGACAGAUGUAUGAUUAUGGAAGAACGAUAAUUUUCAUAAAGGUGACUGCACAAAUGAAUCAGUUAACAGCACACAUGCACAACUUGAAGACAUACAGUAUGCGCGUGAGCAAAACACAAGGAGACGCUCACACAUACAUACAUGCACUCAUUAGGUUCUGGACCUGAGCUGAAACAUUUUUGCGAUGUGGCUACUUUUGUAGAGAAACACACCCUGCAAUCACGUGACAGGCAACGCAAAAACCACCAGCUUUACGUGACGUGGAGAGGUGUCUCUAUCUGCCCACCGGUUCAUUAAUGAAGGCAACAAAAAGGAACUUGCAUAGGCACUUUAUGAGUUACAUUUGUCAGUAAUUGUAGGAAAACAGGCGAGUUCUUAUCUAAUGCUAUUAUGCAAUAACGUUUAAAUCGUUUGCACUAUCAUGAAUUGUGUUAUAGUCUCCCAGUUUAAUGCAGAGAAAAGAAACGUGUAACGCUGAGGUAGAGAGGGAGGCCAUUGAAAAACGACUCGAUAAUCAACAUGACUUGCAUUAUUAAUUAAUUCGAAAUACUAGCAAAAAUACGCUGCAGUCUUCUCUGAUGAAAACCAAUUCAGCUAAUAGUAAAGAAUUAUUUUAAUAUAUUUGAAUUACUAUGAUUAAUGGGAAAGCAGCAUGUUGCGUAACUUAAGGCAAUGUUAUCUUAAAUCCCAUUAUGGCAAACAUGUGUCCGCAUGGCAGUAUUCAGUAUGUUCUACACUCUGGUUAAAACCCCUUUUAGCACACACCCUGUGUAGUUAUUUGUGCAUUGUCAACGGUGACUGAAAAGUCAUUUAUAGUCAGUCCCUUUUUUGAGUAUUGAAAAACAAAUCAGUCAUGUUAGUUUUUGUUCAUUAGCACAAUAUUUGAAACACCAUAAUUCAUCCAUCAUGCGAUGCGAGGAUUCAUUCUUUCUAAGAAUCACAGUCACAUUAUGGCAUACCGAGGCCAAAAUAACCGGUUCACAUUGUCUCACAUAGUAAACACCUUGUACAGUCAACGACACCAUGGCUUGAAUGAUCAGUUUGGCCACUGUCUUCAAGUUACUGUCAUGGGAGUAUAUUUCAAGGGAAUGCUUCAUGCAACUAUUUGUCUUCAUCCCUUUACCAAAUGACAAUGCAUCCCUUUAUAAAAAUGCUGGCGGAAAUGUACAGACAGCACUGAAGGGAACAUGAACUUGGUGGACUUCAUGCACAGCGAAUUCUCGUCCGACUGGAAUGCACGAUGACCACUGAGCAAGCGCAGUGCUUUGUGGAACCCAGCCUUGUGAGUCUUGCCUAUGAGAGACUUUUCCGUCAGCCAUUGGACUCCUACAGAGGGGAACGGCCAUGACUGCCCGUCAACGAACAGCAAGUUGACGGGACGGACCCGUCAAUGCAGGCGUCACUGAAGCCACUGCUGGACAUCAGAUAGAGAGCGGACACUGCAGCCUCUCUGACGAGCAGUAAGACAGGAAGUCCAUCAAGCCAGGUGUCAAACUGUUUAAGACCCACCCCAAUAAUGCCUUAAAGACACAGUACACUACAUAUUUAU